GACGAACGCUGGCGGCGUGCCUAACACAUGCAAGUCGAACGAGGUCCAAGGGAGCUUGCUCCCUGAAGACCUAGUGGCGAACGGGUGAGUAACACGUGAGAAACCUGCCCUCGAGUGGGGAAUAACCCGGGGAAACCCGGGCUAAUACCGCAUACGCUCCUCUGGUCGCAUGGCCGGAGGAGGAAAGUUUUUCGCUCAAGGAGGGUCUCGCGGCCUAUCAGCUUGUUGGCGGGGUAACGGCCCACCAAGGCCACGACGGGUAGCUGGUUUGAGAGAACGAUCAGCCACACUGGGACUGGGACACGGCCCAGACUCCUACGGGAGGCAGCAGUGGGGAAUCUUGCGCAAUGGGCGAAAGCCUGACGCAGCAACGCCGCGUGCGGGAUGACGGCCUUCGUGGUUGUAAACCGCUUUCAGCAGGGACGAAAAUGACGGUACCUGCAGAAGAAGCUCCGGCUAACUACGUGCCAGCAGCCGCCGUAA
Molecule: ribosomal RNA, 483 nt
Filed under: uncultured bacterium
Lineage: Bacteria
Description: partial 16S ribosomal RNA
Rfam family: Bacterial small subunit ribosomal RNA
Source: RNAcentral